UCUGGUAUUGAUUGGUGCUUGCAUCAUGAUUUACAUUUGAGUGAGUGGCGAACUGGUGAGUAACACGUGGGAAACCUGCCCAGAAGCGGGGGAUAACACCUGGAAACAGAUGCUAAUACCGCAUAACAACUUGGACCGCAUGGUCCGAGUUUGAAAGAUGGCUUCGGCUAUCACUUUUGGAUGGUCCCGCGGCGUAUUAGCUAGAUGGUGGGGUAACGGCUCACCAUGGCAAUGAUACGUAGCCGACCUGAGAGGGUAAUCGGCCACAUUGGGACUGAGACACGGCCCAAACUCCUACGGGAGGCAGCAGUAGGGAAUCUUCCACAAUGGACGAAAGUCUGAUGGAGCAACGCCGCGUGAGUGAAGAAGGGUUUCGGCUCGUAAAACUCUGUUGUUAAAGAAGAACAUAUCUGAGAGUAACUGUUCAGGUAUUGACGGUAUUUAACCAGAAAGCCACGGCUAACUACGUGCCAGCAGCCGCGGUAAUACGUAGGUGGCAAGCGUUGUCCGGAUUUAUUGGGCGUAAAGCGAGCGCAGGCGGUUUUUUAAGUCUGAUGUGAAAGCCUUCGGCUCAACCGAAGAAGUGCAUCGGAAACUGGGAAACUUGAGUGCAGAAGAGGACAGUGGAACUCCAUGUGUAGCGGUGAAAUGCGUAGAUAUAUGGAAGAACACCAGUGGCGAAGGCGGCUGUCUGGUCUGUAACUGACGCUG
RNAcentral lists this ribosomal RNA (711 nucleotides) under Lactiplantibacillus plantarum. RNAcentral's name for it is "bacterial SSU rRNA". It matches the Rfam family "Bacterial small subunit ribosomal RNA", at positions 62 to 748 of the family's 1533-position model. The record is from RNAcentral. Lineage: Bacteria; Bacillati; Bacillota; Bacilli; Lactobacillales; Lactobacillaceae.